UGCGAUUAGUUACCAAAAAGGACCGAUCUACAUGCCCAAAUUCCUCAAUGAUCAGUGCCGGCCCUCACCUAUAUGAUCUAACUCCCUGGAGACCCUUCAAGUAAAUGCUCUCAAGCCCCUUUUUACACCUUUAUAUUGUCACCUUGCUACUCUUAUAAUACCUCUACUAUUCCUUAUGUUUGUCUUAGAUAUCAGAGGGUUCCUUAUUAGCUACCCUCUAGCAAGAGAACUUUCAUUCAUGCCAUUUC
This 248-nucleotide long non-coding RNA is filed under the name Elaeis guineensis (African oil palm). RNAcentral's name for it is "long non-coding RNA (EGUI_LNC057513)". Lineage: Eukaryota; Viridiplantae; Streptophyta; Magnoliopsida; Arecales; Arecaceae. The record is from RNAcentral.